AGAUAUUUCAUUGAAAAUUUGAAUCCCACCCAUCCCAUACACCUCAAACACGCACCCAAGAAUCAAAGUAAUCCAACAUUUCAAAAUUCAAACACCCCACUUCUCUUCCUUCUCUCUCUCAAAUCCCCUAUGGAUUAGAUCUGGAUCUGCUCCCUCUCUCUCUCUAUUCAUCCAUAAAUCAACCAACAAGAAAAACAUCAAUUCACUUGCUGAUGCCUAUUCACAUGUAUGAUUUUCUAGGGGUUUUGAUUUCCAUCUUAAUUCACCCUGUUCACUGGAUCUGCCAAACUCUCCCCCUUCUCAAACCCUAAUCCCAAUUGCACCGCGUCACUUUCAUGGCUCCUCAAAACACAUCUUCCAUAUUCGUUUCAUUUAAGGUGCUUGAGGGUUUGGAUUUGCUGAGUCGACUCAGAAGUGUAGAAAGAUGGAGCCGAAUGGGCUUAUGGUUACUCGCCAAGAGUCCAAUCGUUGGUCUUAUGCAAGCUUUUCCUUGUGUACAGAUGCCACCAAAUCGGCAAGAAUUCUGUAGCUGCCAAAUGCAACGCCUGCCAUAGGGUAUCUACUCUGGCAACACGCCUUGAUUGUAAAAUAUCAUUCUGUGAUAGAGUGUUGAAGGACCAGGGUUUAAAAGGGCAAAUGGUUCGGCCACUGAUCUCUAUGUGUCUUAUCGUUGACCGUAAAGAUUAGUUUUCAAGAUAGGGUAUUAAGGCAGUUUUGAGGAAAAAAAGGUGAAGGUGGACAGGAGAGUGUUUAUCAGUGAUCCGAGGGAUGUGAUUUGCGAUGUGGUGGAGAAGAUGGGUGUUGAUAUGGUGGUGUUGGGUAGUCAUGGUUACCAGAUUAUCCUUUACGUUGGUAAAAGAUAUUACUCGGACAUUAGAUGAAGCUAUAGUGCUCUUUGUCAACCGGCUUGCACAGUGGGAUGCCAGUUGGUAUUCUUUUUUGUUUGAAUCACUUUCAGGAAUAUUAGUAGCAUACAAAACACAUAGAUUAUCUGCGACAUCCAUAUUCCUCUAAAUGUUAUAGAAGGAUUACAAAAAUGUGUUGGGCUGCAUUUGGAGACUGACCAAUAUUCCUCUAAUGAGAUAGAUGAGUUGGAUGCUAUACAAAUCUCAUACGGAGCAGUGCACCUGAUCAUUUGUUGUUAGAGGGAAGAACAUGUGAGGCUUCAGAUUCCUUCGUCUCUUCAAGGGACAUCGUCUUUUAAUUCAUCAGCAUCGCUUGAUAACUCAUUAUCCGUUCUUGGAGCGGGUACCCGUCUUUUCGCUCUCACAAAGCGCAGGGCAAAACCUGCGGUACGCAUUAUCUUUAUUUUAUAAAGUUUGACUAAGAUACAUUGUUUUAUUUAAAUUGAAUGAUUUAUAAUGAAUGUAGUAGAUUGAUGUAUGGUAGUUAUUUGGGUGCUAAUUGGAGGGGCCUAUAGGCUGAUUGAUGUCCCCAUGAGCAACUGUAUCAACAGUGGGAUCAAUAAAGUCUACAUUUUGAUUCAGUUUAAUUCGGCAUCACUCAACAAACACUUGGCCCGCGCUUAUAAUUUUGGUAAUGGUGUUACCUUUGGAGACGGUUUCGUUGAAGCACUCUCCGCAACUCAAACUCCAGGUGAGGAAGGUAAGAGGUGAUUCUAGGGUACUGCAGAUGCGGUUCGACAGUUUCAUUGGCUGUUUGAGGAUGCAAGAAGCAAGGAUAUUGAGGAUGUUCUCAUUCUAUCUGUAGAUCACUUGUAUAGUAUGGAUUAUAUGGGAAAGGUAGAGAAAUCAGGACAUAUCGAUCCAUGAGGGCAUCAUGGAGGAUCAUAUCUUCUAUUGAGCAGAAGAAAGAGAGCCGUGGGAAUGAAGAUCAUGUCAAGCUAAUUAAGGACUAUAGGGCGAGAAACGAGACCGAAGUAAGCAAAAUUUAUGACGGAUCAUAUGUUUAACAUUGUUUUAUAAAGAUAUGUAACUAAACGCAAAGAAUUUAAA
This is a long non-coding RNA of Helianthus annuus (common sunflower), 1955 nucleotides long. RefSeq lists it as uncharacterized. The record is from RefSeq and is a predicted model, not a curated record. The transcript is spliced from 9 exons. Lineage: Eukaryota; Viridiplantae; Streptophyta; Magnoliopsida; Asterales; Asteraceae.